CCAGCUCUUCACACAUGCCGGAGGCGGCUGGGCCUCCAGGUCUUGAGCCUGGAAGAAUUUUCUACCUCAAGUCACAUCGGGGCUCAGCUUCCCCCGCCGCAGGCUCAGAAACCCCGUCUACUUUCCAAAAAGUUUGUGGGUGUCAUUUUCUCUUCUGUCACCCCCAUCCUGCAAGUACUUAACGGAGACACACGGCAGCAUGGAGACUGGGGUCACCCCACAACCGUUGGAGCAGCUGUGGUCUUUCCAUUAAGAGGUAAAAUUUGCAUCUGGUCCACACCACUGUGCUCUGAAUAUCAGAAACGGGAAGCAGUGCCCAAUGCUUCCCGCAAUGCUAGGACAAGUCACAGCAGCACAACAUCUGCAGCUGGAGAGGGGAUCAGCCUUUUCCAGAACAUUCCCCUCCUGAGCCAAGGGGAACGGUGUGGUGGAAGCCAGGCUCGCUUCUCUCUGUUGGGGGGAAGGGGGGGUCAAGGGUGGAGGGCUGGGAGGUGUCAGGUGACCACCCAAAGAAAGGUCUCAAGGUCAGGGAAUCCUGGGGCAGGGUGCUGCCUCUUCAGAGUGUGGGAUUUUAAAAGCCCAAAGGAGAACUUAGAUCCAAGGUGGGAGCUACAGCUUGCACUUCCUGCCUCGAUGGUCUUGCCUGUCCCUUUAGAUGGGGUGAGGCACCAUGUGGUCUGUGCUCAGAAAGGGUUAAGUCUCACCCGCAGCCCUGGGAUCUGUCAGCAUUGGCGAUGAGGCUUCCUGCGGGGAGACCACUACCUUGGAGCGGGCCAGAGCCUGGUGUCCCAAGAGAGAUGGUCACAGACUCCCUAGAGGGAUGGUGUGUGGUCACUAGGGAUGGAAAGGAAUUGACCUUUACUGGGCAGUGACCAUGCGCCCGGCCCAGGGGCAGGGAUCACAUCUCAGCUCCAGGUCACCGUUUCAAGACAGGUGCGAUGCUCUCUGUUUUAUAGAAAAGGAAACUGAGUCUCUGUGGGCCUGGUCCUAACCCAGUCACAUGCAAGCAUUCAUGCCUG
This 1019-nucleotide long non-coding RNA is filed under the name Macaca mulatta (Rhesus monkey). RNAcentral describes it as "lncRNA (ENSMMUG00000056139.1)". Lineage: Eukaryota; Metazoa; Chordata; Mammalia; Primates; Cercopithecidae. The record is from RNAcentral.